CCUAAUUAGCUCACGUCAUGUUUCACCUGGUUGUCUUAUGUGUUUGUACUAGCGGCGCCAUUUUUAAUUUUUAACCAUGUGCACCAGAAUCUGGCGAAUCAACCCAUUGCGAUAUAUGCAUUACUAUAAUCCGGUCUUUUGUUAGAGAUAGAGUUCCGAAAGAACACACAUUUGUUAGUAAAUAUCGAAUUGUACGGGGGAAGUGCAUGGUCAGCAUUUAAAAAAAAAAAAUAGACAAAUCAGUCCGGAGUCGUCAGUGGUGUUGGUUUUGUCACAAACAAACGCUAUGACCAAAUGGUUUGAGUUGCAAAGUCUUAAGUCACUCUGUUGGAAUCUGGAGAGUAACACGUGGAUGUGUUUAAUUUUGCAGUAGAAAGCUAAACAAACACAAGCCAUACUAUCCACCAAAAGACUCCGGAACGAGGUGGCUGUUUGACGCGGACAAGGUUAAACAAUGCAAAAGACUGGUGGAGGUGAAUAAUGGCUUGUCUUGAAAAUUUACUCAAUGGUCCUUCAAGAACAACUCAUGCUCUUUGAGGCUUGGAGAAGGCGGCAGAGGACCACUACACUGACACACAACACGAGAGCGACCCAGAGCGCUCCGAGUUUGGAAUUCCCGCACGGAAGCGCCACACUUGUGCAAAAAAACUGACGUGGGAAACCGGACGUGGGGUGGGGUGGGGGCGGUGUGCCGAAUGCGGGAGAAACCAUCAUGGAGAGGACGGGACUAGUCUGUGACUCCCACUUCGGCACACUGAGCUCCUUUGGUUUUUCGGCUGACCAGUUGUGUUCAUCACUUGAGGUUUCCCGCAUCCUAGGUCAAUACAGAAGGUCCAGUGAAGAGAACCGGUUUCUCCCAGCCCAGCAGAGCCCAUUUAGGCAGUAGCACAGUCUUUAUCAGAGGUCCAUAGUGAGACAGCUGUAUUCGAUUGGUCACCCUUUUUUCCCCCACAUAAAGCUCCCCCUAGUAUUUAGUACGAAUAGGGGGUUGUACACUUUGGACAAGUCCUGCACAAUUUGUGUGUGUGUGUGUCUAUCUCCAUUUGUAUGUGUGCUUUGAUAGACCAGUAAGUGACCCGAUCUGUGAACAACACAUCCGCGUCAGACCAAUUGUUC
Esox lucius (northern pike) is the source of this 1116-nucleotide long non-coding RNA. NCBI's taxonomy places the organism in Eukaryota, Metazoa, Chordata, Actinopteri, Esociformes, Esocidae. The record is from Ensembl.